CAACCCUCAAGCCCAGCUUGGUGUUGGGAGCUGUCGUCAAGACACUCCCCAAAUCGAUUGGCGGUCACGUCGAGCUUCCAUAGCGUAGUAAUUUACACCUCGUUACUGGUAAUCGUCGCGGCCACGCCGUUAAACCCCAACUUCUGAA
RNAcentral lists this unclassified non-coding RNA (148 nucleotides) under uncultured Gibberella. Its description in RNAcentral is "sequence contains ITS2". The record is from RNAcentral. Lineage: Eukaryota; Fungi; Ascomycota; Sordariomycetes; Hypocreales; Nectriaceae.